Non-coding RNA from Lolium perenne, 4543 nucleotides. The record is from RefSeq and is a predicted model, not a curated record. NCBI's taxonomy places the organism in Eukaryota, Viridiplantae, Streptophyta, Magnoliopsida, Poales, Poaceae.
CCGAACGGCCACCUUCGGUGGACGCUCCUAUGAGCUCACGUCAUCAUGGUAGACUGGUGGUGCAGCGACCCUGCUCCAGGCAAUGCCUAUGAGACGUCUUCAGGUACGACGGUGGCAGGAUGGAGCUUUGAGGGCCUCCAGUUUGGUGGUGGUAUGCGCGUAAAAUGGAGGAAGUGGUUACACUAUCUAUUUAAAACAUGCAGCAGGCACAAAAUAAGUUUAUGGAUCGACGCAUGCUUUGCUCCUGUGCUCCUCUGUCCGUGCUAAGGUUACAGAUACCAAUAAGGCCAGUGGUAUGGUUCAGUGGAGGUAUCGGCCAGUGGUGUUGUCAAGAAUAUCGUCCCAGCCAUGCUGCUGCUUGUGCAUUGGAAGCUUUGAAGCUCCCCUUUGGCUGCAGCAGAAGUGUGUCAAAUUAUAUCAUGUGUUCCCUUCACUUGGUACUAUCCAAAAGGUUGCAAUGUUGAAACAGAAUGGUGAAAUGCAGGCCAUGAUUCCAUAGUCAGGUAUGUGCCGAUAAUCUGUAGGAUCUACCAUGAUGACAUCAUACCUUCUGAUUCUGAUAUAUCGAAUGUGACCUGAGGCUAUAAUUUGGCCACUCGCAUAUAGUUUUUAAUUUGACCACUGAUCGUUGUGGACAUCUCAAUGAUGUUGUGUUGAUUACUGAGAAAAGGGUAAGACGGAUUUGAAUACUUGAUUUAUUCAUUUGCAUUCUGCACAUCUGAGCUUUCAUCAUUUGAGAUUGCUCUAUCUAUGUAUCAUUUCCAUAGUAGUUGUGUACUACCCUAUUAGACAUGCGUAAGGGAUUUGCUUCAGUACUUCAAAAGGAGAGAUUUAAUCUCUUGUAUAUAAAUUAUAUUGUUUGGUGCACUUUUUAUGCAAUUAACAUUUUCUAGGAACCCGGUUGAUUUUUUUAUUACAUGUGUCGGGAUUGAACCGAGAGAAUUGUCGCACCUCCCAACUGUAAGAGUUAUAAAAAUCACCUGUUUAUAUUUGGUUAUAGAGUUUAUAGACAUUUUAGAUUAGAUCAACAUAUAACUGAAUGUUGUUACCUAAUGUGUAUGGUUUUGAGUGGGAUUCCUUGGUUCACCAGGUCCAGGUCCAAUGUCUCCGAUUAGUAACCAUCUAUCGAUGGUUGCUCAUAUUACAUUUUUUCACGUACCUUUUUUGUGAUUCCUUAUCUCUAACAUACAGUUUUGGAGCCUUUAGCUUAUGUGGGAGUAGAUGAUGGAUGACUCCGAGCAACCAGUUUCUAUAUUUAUUCCAAGAAGUACACACGUCUGAGAUUCAGAAAUAUGUUGGUACACCUCUCGGUUUCAUAGCUUUGUGGUGUAGGAUUAUAAUUUUGAGUUAAGCGAAAAACAUAAAAACUGCUAUUUGCCUCGUCUGAAACAAACAUCUUAUAUUUCACAGGCUCUUGGUACGGUUCCCGGCAAUAACUCCAUUAGAAUAGAUCAGAGGGUCAGCUGUGAUGAUCCUAGAUUCCUAGGGCAAAGCUGCAAACCUCUAGGCUAUGUGUGUCUCCAUCGCAAAUUAUCCCUAUUUAUUUGUUUAGUUAAGUACAAAAUGAUAGAGGAAAUUUCUUAUUUUUAGAUUCUCAAUGUACCACUUUGGGGUUGUUUGAGCGCUGAACAAUGUUCCCAUGUUGACCAUUUCACGUGUCUUUGCAAUAUUGAUAAGCAUGAUAAUGCCUCAGAUUUUGUCCUCAGGAUUUAUGAUGAUUUAUUACUACCACCUAACCUAUUUAAGAGAUGCCUAAUUUGGAUUUCUUAAAUAACAGUUUCUCUGCAGGAGAUACUAAAACACUUUCAUAGAUAGCUAUAAGCUUUGGUUUUGGGUGUCUCUGUUUCGACAAGGUUACCUGUGCCAGGAUGAGCAUUGGGUGUUCUGAUCCAUGGGCAUGGUUUUUUCCCGUGUGGUUUUGGUUGAGGUCAUGUGAGAAAGUUCUGUACUUCUCACUUAAAGUACUUGAUUGAAAUUACUUGCCUUUGUGAUCGUGUGAGAAAUUUCUUACUAGAGCUUCAGUACAAUCAUUCAUUUCAUUUUAAAAUUAGACAAGUCAAGUUGUUAUUUAGUGCAUGCUAGAACAUACUUUAUCAGGAACCAUCAAGCCCUGUAAACUGAUUUGGCUUUUGCUCAUAUUUGUUUUAACACUUGAAGAGUUCUCAUGUCUAAUUCCAUGUCAGAUAUAGCUUGAGAAGCUACAACAAGUGAGUCCUUUCAUUCACUAAAGAUAUUGCCAGCUCCUUAUCACCCAAAGUAAUUGGUUGCUUCAAAUUCGACCUUCCCGUUAUAGUUUGUGUUUUCACAUGAGGAAGUUAAGUGUAUCAUGCUAUGUUUAAAAUUCCAGAGGUAUGUUAUGUCUCUUAUCUGCUUCCUGACGUUGUUUGGUUCCUUGCAUUCAUCGGUGGCUUCUUUCCCUGCGCUGUUAUUAUUCCUGCAUGGUUCUUCAGAGUUGCUAUUGGAGGAGAGCAUUCGAAGGCCCUCUAUUUUGUUCCCUGUUCCUUCGAGUCCAUAAGCUAGAAUUGUGCUUUGCUUGCCUUCGUUGGUUUUCCGCGGUCUCAAUGCACUCUUGUCCUUCUGUUUCCUCCAGUGCUGUGUCUCUCAAGUGCACCUUGAUUAGUAAGAAUUUAGAAAUGGUUGCCAUUUUAUAAUACAAUUCAGUUAACUGGUGCGGAAGUGUUUAUGUGGAGCUAGCAGUUCAUCUUCCCCCUUUUCUUGUUGCAGUAUUUGUACACACUAAUUUUUCGUCUACAUGAUUCCCCAGUGUGAAAUUUGACUUAUGGUUACCCACUCAUCUUCCUUCUCAUUUCCUCCACUGAGACGCCUCCUUCAUUGAGAUGUACUCUGUCAGCUAAGGGCAUGCAGCAUUCAGUGAGAUAUAGCAGCCAAUGAACAGCCUAAUGGAUCCCUCACACGAGUUGAGCCCCAAAACCUCUUUUGUGAGUUUCCUUACCAAAUGGCCUCAUUAUGAUGUGAGGUCCAUGGGCUCUAAAUCUUAGGGGUUUCUACUUUGUAGCUUCCAGUUCCGUUUCAAUUCAGUGUUCAUAGCGUCAACUAUAUUUUUAAUCAAUGCUUGUGUCUUAUUCUGUUACCUCGUUUUUAUGCAUGUUCUUGUUAUUUUUGGUCAAGUGGUGAUUGGAAAAGGAUUUUUCUGAGUUUAAAUACCUCCAAAAAAAUGAAUGGAAAAUAUCUCGUGCAAUUUCCAAAAAAUCUAAUUUGAUUUCUUUUUAAUAACUAUUCGAAUUGUGGGUUAGUUGUCCUGUUGAAUGCAACCUGAAUAGCAUCAUGUUUUUGUGUGCAACAAUUGCUUAUGAGUUUGAAUCAGGCUAUUUUUCCUUUGUGCAGUGGUUCUCUGGCUUUCGGCCAGAAUUUCGGCUCAUCUAAGGAAAAGUGAGAAACUAGGAAUUGCAGCCUAUGGGGAGGAUGAACUGGCCUCUUAUGUAUGCUCAAGAUCCAUGUUGUGGCCGGUUCAAUUGUACAUACCCUUAUGUAUGCUCAAGAUCCAUGUUGUGCCCGAUUCAAUUGUAUAGAGCACCAAGGAGGAAGCUCUAGGGGAUGAAUAGAGAACAUGAGAUGCUAACCAUCUGGCUAUGAAGGGGUUUCUUGAGAGUCAAAGGAUGGUAUGCAUAUCAUAUUUGGAUGUUGUAACAAUAUUGAUCCUGCUCUAUUCAGAUACUUUUGAGAUUAUAAGUCAUUGUUGCCGUACAAAUUGCACCCCUUAUUAUGUGAAUGGAUCAUAUAAUAAGUUCAGAACAGCUGCAUUUACUUACGGUUUGUGCAUGCACACUUAUAUAUUUUUUCUCCCUUGAGCUGGAUCAUAUUCAAUGCACUCCAUUUUUACAGCUUCAGAUUGUUUUUGGAUAGGCUUCCCAAAAUAGGAAGUAUGGUUACAAUGAUGGAAUCUGUGAAGUGUUGUCAUUUAUACAUGUAAUUUACAGGUUUUGUUUCCAGUUGAAGAAUAAGCCAUGGAUAGUAGUGUGGGCUAUUGAGUCACGUCCUGAUAAUUCAUGAUUCAUGAUUGCGCCUGAUCUGUAAAUUGCCGGGUUCAGUGACUACCUCUGACACCUCGGUUUUGCAGUCAUUCCUUGCAGGUAAAUCAAGUAAAGAUUAGGCCAGUCGACAGUACCCAUAGUGGUUGUAGUGUCGAUGGCCGGUGAGCUUCUUUAGGUCAAAGGCCAACCAAAAUGGCAUUGCUCUCUGCUCCCAGCACAAGGUCUUGGCCGGCAUACAAGUAGAGCAAUGUUGUAAUGUACCCAUUAAAUUAGGUUGAAGCAAAGUAUUGAUGCAACAAUAGAGAUGUGUAUUCUGUCAUUAUUUUCACCCAUAUUUCCUGUGUUUAUAAAUGUUAAGCUCAAUUUUGUGGUAUCAGUUGAGUAUUGAUGAACUCCAGGUUUGUGGACUUUGGUUAAUAUUACAGGAAGAGAAGACUUUAUUUUCUGCUUUGCAUGGAUAUAUUAAGUAACCUCAAGCUCAAUUUCAUUCAUUAUUCUGAUCGCCUACCUAAAGUUAAGUUUAAAUACCAUUAUGUUUUCCUAUUGUCAAA